AUGUAUAAUGUCACAGAGGCCGUCUGGUGUGAUGGGAAGAGCUCUAGGGAUCACAGAAUCCAAGUGGGAAUGGAUUGUAGAGGUCAUCCAGUCCAACUCCUCCUUUUACAGGGAGUUUUAGAAAGGAAAAAAGGAAGAAGCACUUAUAUAAAAUCUACUAUAUUCCAGGGCCUCAUCACAGCAUGGAGUAUCCCUGAGGAUGGAUGCCAAUAG
This 213-nucleotide long non-coding RNA is filed under the name Monodelphis domestica (gray short-tailed opossum). RNAcentral describes it as "lncRNA (ENSMODG00000044439.1)". The record is from RNAcentral. Lineage: Eukaryota; Metazoa; Chordata; Mammalia; Didelphimorphia; Didelphidae.